CGGCGAGUGAAGCGGCAAUAGCUCAAAUUUGAAAUCUGGCCCUUUUAGGGUCCGAGUUGUAAUUUGCAGAGGGCGCUUUGGAGUUGGCUGCAGCCUAAGUUCCUUGGAACAGGUCAUCAUAGAGGGUGAGAAUCCCGUAUGUGGUUGCAUGCCUCCGCCGUGUAAAGCCCCUUCGAUGAGUCGAGUUGUUUGGGAAUGCAGCUCUAAAUGGGAGGUAAAUUUCUUCUAAAGCUAAAUAUUGGCCAGAGACCGAUAGCGCACAAGUAGAGUGAUCGAAAGAUGAAAAGCACUUUGGAAAGAGAGUCAAAAAGCACGUGAAAUUGUUGAAAGGGAAGCGCUUGCAGCCAGACUUGCCCGCAGUUGCUCAUCCGGGGUUCUCCCCGGUGCACUCUUCUGUGGGCAGGCCAGCAUCAGUUCGGGCGGUUGGAGAAAGACCUGUGUCAUGUAGCUGUUCUCGGGCAGUGUUAUAGGGCAGGUGGAAUGCAACCAGCUCGAACUGAGGUCCGCGCAUCUGCUAGGAUGCUGGCGUAAUGGCUGUAAGCGGCCCGUCUUGAAACACGGACCAAGGAGUCUAACAUCUAUGCGAGUGUUUGGGUGUCAAGCCCGAGCGCGUAAUGAAAGUGAACGGAGGUGGGAACCCCUCGGGGUGCACCAUCGACCGAUCCUGAUGUCUUCGGAUGGAUUUGAGUAAGAGCAUAGCUGUUGGGACCCGAAAGAUGGUGAACUAUGCCUGAAUAGGGUGAAGCCAGAGGAAACUCUGGUGGAGGCUCGCAGCGGUUCUGACGUGCAAAUCGAUCGUCAAA
RNAcentral lists this ribosomal RNA (803 nucleotides) under Prosthemium alni. RNAcentral describes it as "eukaryotic LSU rRNA". It matches the Rfam family "Eukaryotic large subunit ribosomal RNA", at positions 87 to 909 of the family's 3401-position model. Lineage: Eukaryota; Fungi; Ascomycota; Dothideomycetes; Pleosporales; Pleomassariaceae. The record is from RNAcentral.